UCUACUGCUUCCAAUAUUCACAGUUGUUUGUACUCUCAGUCCCGCUGAACUAUGUCUCUUUAUGUACUUCGUGCUUUUUUCUGGGUGUAGAGAAUACAAACAUCCAUUCAGAUCGGCUUAACUUUGAGUUUAUCCCCAGAAAAUUCAAGUGGACUUAUGAUGCUGCCUGGCGGUAAAACUGCGUUUCCUUAACCGGUUAUUCCAUCUAGCACAGUGGAACACAGUGCUUGGUACAUCAUAUAAUCAGUUCAUGCUUUUAGGAUGAAUGAAAUAAAAUCCAAUUAUAUGUCACAUGCAAACAAUGCAACAGUGAUGAAGAGUGUUGGUUCUAUUCUUGAACCCAACCACCUGUAGAAACUGUGGACAAGAGAUAGCAAUGACUUUCCCAAGUCACAAAAUAAGUCAGCAGCACAGAAGAAAAUUGGUCCCAGAAUAUUUGACUCCAAGACCAGUGAUGGCAAGUGGGAUGUUUCCCUGUCUCUUGCACACCAAAAGGGUCACUGCAUAGCUAGCAUGUUAAGGAACAUGCCAUACAGUAAAAGUCAAAUAAAGACUAUCCUCUGCAUAGGUGAA
Molecule: long non-coding RNA, 573 nt
Organism: Acinonyx jubatus (cheetah)
Lineage: Eukaryota; Metazoa; Chordata; Mammalia; Carnivora; Felidae
Exons: 2
Source: RefSeq, a predicted model, not a curated record